UUCUCUCAAAAAAAAAAGAAGCAGAACCCUCGUCUCGCCCGGUCGCCCCCCUCGCUCAGCGACUCCUCUGCGGCUCUGCUCGACCAAGACACCCAGCCGUCGCGGCAUCUCCGUUCCUCGCGGCUUCGCCGGUCGCCAGCCGGAGCCCGGAGUUCAGCCGUCCAGGAGAUGCCCGCCUCCCCUCUUCCCGGCUUCCUGCCCGGCCGCCCGGUCCAGCCGCGCCCCUGCCCUGCGCGCGGCUGCGCCCCUGCGGACUGCGGUCCCGGCGUCCCGCAUCCUCUUUCUGGCGCCCCGCCGGCCCGGCCGCCCCCCUUCAAAGCCCCACCACGGCGGCAAACCCCUGGCCGAUUUAAGAAUUAGUGAAGAAUGAAGAGGGCCGGAGACAUUGUUUCUCUUUUUCAAAGAGAAGCUAUUAAGAUAGGGAAGAAGAAGAAGGCAGGGACUAUGCCGGAUGUGGCCGAAGAGCAAACCCGAGAACUUUUGUGUACGCAUGUUGUGAUUGAAGAGCAAACUAGAUGGUUGAUAGUCUUUUGGAUGAUUGCCUAGUCACGGACAUUGAGAGGGACGUUUUCUCCCAGAUGAAUGAAGAUGAUAUAAUUGAUACCUUCGUGGCAAUGCAAGAGCGUAGGCCAGAAAAAUAGUCUUUUUGAACUCGUCAAGGUAUGUACUAUGGUCUAGGUAGUAUUUACUAUGUAGGCUUCUUUAUGCAAAAUUAGAAUUUAAUUGAGAAUUUUAGAGUGUUCAUAAGACCAUAUUGCUUUAUGAUAUUGAUAAUUAGCUAGCACGUUCAUAUAACAUAUUGCUUAUGAAAAAAAAAUUGGGGGGCGGACCACCCUGGUGUCAAAUGCUAGCUCCACCACUGCCUCCGGGACUGCUGCAAUGGCCACCUCCUCCUCUCCGGAUCCGACGGUUCACUGUGCAUCUAUGACCCGCUCUCCGAGCGGCGUGUGCCCAUUGGCCCGCGCACGCAUCUUGACCAGCGCUGGAAGUGCCUCGGCGACUGCUUGCUUAACGGCCUUGCCCGCCAUAUGGUCUCCGUGGAGCAACACGGCCAACAGAAGCAUGCCGAGGAGUCCUUGCAGUGGCAGAGCAAUUCCAGAUUCAAUGUAUGAGCCGUUGAGUAUAACUCCGGCACGCUUGAGUGGCGCGUCCACCCACCCACAGACUGGGUGGACGAAGGUUCAGUUGACGAAAUUGCAAUUGAAGGCAAUGUAUGCAGCCGGCCACAUAUUCUGGGAAACUGAUGUCGCCAGAUUGCUGGUGCUUGACACGAGCACCAUGGAGUCCUCAGAGCACGGUGUCCCAUGGGAGAUAGUCUCUACCAGUUGGGCCAUCGGAGAGCUCCGAGACGGCAAGGGCUGCCUCGUGUGCCUCCAAGGCCUCAAUAGCUCCUUCGGCAAAGAUGGCCUCAUAGUGGAGGAACCUCUCCGCCUGGAAGUCUGGGCACUAAAGAAGGAGGAGGAGGAUAAGCAAGGUAAAUUUUGUUGCAAGUGCGAGAAGGGUGUCCGGGUGAGCGAGAUGCUCCCGGAGGACGCUCGCUCGUGUGUGUAGAGUCCACAAGGUCAUCAACGUCUAAUGAAGACAAAGUGUUCAGAUUCCUAGCAAGAACAUGGAUGGCCGCGAAGGCGCCUCUUCUGGUGGAUCGGAAUCUGCAUCUCUCCAAAGUCAACUUCAGGUGGAAUCCCCUAAUGUCAGUGGAUCUAGUGGUAUUGAGGAUGCGUCAUGUGAUGAUGAUAACCAGCGUGCAUUGGCGUCUCUGGGUAUUGGAGAUGCAGUACACACAGAUGCAACAACAGCGGCAGCCAUCAAUGCCGUAGAUUCUCAUGCCAACGAAGAAGCAACUGGUGGCUGGGCAUCUGACGGAAGAACAAAGCUAACUACAACACUUGAGAAAGUAGCACAAGAAGUACACAUCAGCCAGACUCCUUUGAGUUCAGAGCAACAUGAUAUUGGUGAGAAAUCAAGUCAAGAUCUGCAUGGUGGUAGUGCUAGGAUUCAGCCAAUGGAAAAGGACCCGUGUCAUGAUGAACUGACUCUGCAAACGGCUGGUGUUUUCCCUUCUGAAAGCUGUGACGGGGAUAUUCUAGAAGAUAAAUCUGAAACCGACAACCUGACAAAGAAUACUAGAGAAGAUACUGAAAUGUUGGAGCAACAGAAUAGUGAUAAGGCUAACAUACAAGUCAGUUGCGCCAACAAAAUGAGUGAAGUGCUCUAUGAUGAUAAUAACACCUUGGAGAAGAAUACAAUCUGUGGUGGGAAGGUUACUGUAGAGUGCCACUUGGCCUUGUUACACAAUAAAAGUUCAGAAGCUAGGAGUAACGCCAUUUCAUCUCCAAUGCAGAAGAGGCCCUUUGCGUGCCAGAGCCAUGUAAAUGGUUGCACCAUGAGCUAUGACAGUAAGAACAAUUUAGCCAAGCCUUUUAGGGAAGUCCAUGAGCCGAAGAAACGUUUCACACGGAGAUUCGCUGGGUGUCGCGAGGAGUUUUCUUCAAAGAAUGAAAGGAAGAUUCAUGAGGGAUCUAGUGCUCACGUCGAGGUCAACACAAAGCAGCCAUCCCAUACCACAUAGUUUACCUCCUGUACCCAUGCCUUUCUCUUUCAGAAGUUUAUCAGACACACACCAACCGCUUGCCAUUUUGUAGCUUUCCACCAAUAGGAUUAAUUGUGUCAGCACCUCUCCUGCCGGUGGACCAGAAGCCCAUGAAGAGCCCAGGCCCACACAAGUGGUGGGCCUUCGCACAAGCAACUGACCACGUAAACCGAACAAGCUAGUAAGUGGAGACGACUGGGUCAUUUGAUAAGGACGGUUUAAGAAGCUCACAGUGCCAGGAGGAAAGUCAUCGAAGAUCAAUCACGGAUCAUAGUUUAUCUAGGCUCUCAACCCUAAUUAAGCCCCCCAAUUCUUGAUUCUUCUAUUCCGCACAAUUGUGCUUGUAUAAGCUUGUAACCUGAAUCCAGCGUAUUUCCUGAACCCUGUCUAGUGAAUUCAGUGAGUGAACUAGAGCCCAGUUAACAAAAUGCCACUUCAAGGACUGCAGCACGACAUUUACAACGGUGAGACAUAAAUGUACCAAGCAUUACAAGGAACAACAUGAGCAGGGGAGAAGAAAGGACAUAUAUAUCAACAGAGAGCCUUACACAUAUGCGCUGGAGACACAGCAUUGCAGUCUGCACAAGUCUGAAUCUUCUGUGCUUGUGCAGUAUUUUUUGCACAUGUUCUCUGGAUACAGUUGCAGCAGUGUUAAGGGUGAGUUUUUGUGUGUGUGUGUGUGUAACCUGGCAUAAAUUAUGAUGUGUAGUGGUUAUGUUUAGAGCAUGGCUCUAAUUCUUCUUCUAGAUGCAGAUUCUGUUCACUGUGCUGUGUUUUUGCACAAACCACAAACUGAAGCAGAUCGAUGUUCAGAGUUGAUAUGGCCCCUUUCCUGAACAAAAUUAACUUUUUUGUUGAGGGAAACUAAACCUUUAUUUAAACAAAGUUCUCAGAGAUUUCUUGUGUGCGGCCCCAGUUUUUUUUUUCUUUUCAGUUUCCCAUGUCCUGAAACUUCCAGAACCGCCCAGCAUUUUGCAUAUCUCCAACAAGUUUACAAGCCUGAUUAGUUUUAAUUUUGGAAUAUGUCCGCAAGCCUGAUUAGUUUAAUUUUGUAGCUUUCGUCCUCUCCCACUAAUCCGAUAAUUUGCUAGACUAUUUCUUGUACUAGGUUCUGAUGUAACAUGAACUGAUUUCUUUUGGAUCCUGUAGAUUCUGCAGGCAUUUCAAUAUCUUAAGACAGGUUAGCAUCACAAGUUGUUGCCUGUACUGUAGUGAAACAACAUUUAAUGAUCUAGGCACUGCAUAAUUGUUAUACAUUCAUAUUGCAAGCUCCCAUAUCUUAGAACAGCUGCAGGAUGUCAAGGACAAGGAUGUGGCUCUGCCACUGAAGAAGCCUAGCAGCAACCGGAGCUUGACUGGUUCGAGAAAUUUGGCGCCAGUCCACGUCGAGUUGGCUACAUCAUAACACGGCACCGCAAAGAUGUUCAGUUGACUGUUGCAGGUGUAAUAUGUCAGGUUCUUGGUAAGGGUGACCAGUGAAGAGUAAGUAUGCAUAAUCUUUGGUUACAUUCGCAGCUUCUAGCCUCUGGGCCAUGCACAGGUUGUAUCGAUCCAGUUACAGGAGUGUAUGUGGUGGUCGUUUUGUAUAUGGCUGGAAUUAUAUGAAGUAGUAUGCUGAGUUUAACACUGUAGCGUUGCUUAAUUACAUCAAGUUGGUAUUAUCAUCGUGGAUUGUAGCAUCGAUCAAUGUUCAGAAUUAAUAUGGUUCUGCUACUAGUGUUCAUUGACUGUCAGCACAUUGCUCUUCUGAAACGCAAGUGGACGAACUGUUAAAUAGUUUCCUGUGCACCUGUGACGUAGUUUCCCGGCACAUUCAUCCAUGUUUUGGAUUUUACCACAGUAUUUUAUACCUCCUGGCCUUGGUUGGUCAGAGUCUCUAAUUUCCUACAUGUUUGCAUGUUUUGUUACAAUUUAGUGAGGUAAUUAAUGAGAAGUGGAUUCAGGUAUGAUCUAUACUUUCAUGGCAAAUCCCGAACCUCUUUUAAGUCAUAUGUUUGCACUAAGUUUUUUUAGUUUGUGUCCCAACAUAUUUUCCUAAUUUUAUCUUAUUGGACAGGUGAUAUUUGCAUAAAUCCAUCAUUGUUCUCAAUUAUUAUUUAAAAAAUGGCCACUCAUCUUCCUAUAGUUCAAGUCCCUUAAUCCGUUCCUUGUCCAAGUAGAUGCUUGUAGUUGAACCACUCUGAUAUACAGUAUUACUGAAUACUUGCUUGUAGUUGUAGAUGCUUAUGUAAAUAUAAUAUCCUGUCGAUGUAUUUGCGUAAUCUUGGAUACUUUUGUGUUGGUUACAAGGAAACAAAUGAGAUUAGAAAACCGUGCGACAAUUUUUUUUUGUUACUGAUUAGAAAUAUGACAAGGUCUGUCCUACUAUUGCACAGACGACAAACUGAAGCAGGUCGAUGUUCAGAGUUGAUACGGCUCUUUUCGUGAAAAUAUUACGUGGACAAACUUUUUGCAAAGUUCCGAACCACCCAGCACUCUACACCUCUUGGAGAGUCCUUGGUUGGUCUGAACCUGAGCCUGCGGUGACCUUCUGACAGGUUGACAAGUUAUUAUGGCAGCCGAGAGGGGCACUCAAUGAGAGUUAGUAGUUGGAUUAUGGUCGCAAGCCUGAUCGAUCAGUCUAUCUUGUUGAUCAAACUGCCACAGCAUAUUCCUCUUCUUGAAUUUUUCAAAUUUUGUUCUGGUAUCUUUCUUCAUUCAUUACUACGUAUCUUGACAUUUUUUUUCCUUUAUUCAACAAGAGGAUGUACCCUCCGACCUCUGUAUCCAGCAAUGCACAUAGCUGGUUAACCUUAUGAGUUUAUGACCA
This is an RNA transcript of Triticum aestivum (bread wheat), 5399 nucleotides long. RefSeq lists it as uncharacterized. Lineage: Eukaryota; Viridiplantae; Streptophyta; Magnoliopsida; Poales; Poaceae. The transcript is spliced from 8 exons. The record is from RefSeq and is a predicted model, not a curated record.